Molecule: long non-coding RNA, 3247 nt
Organism: Papaver somniferum (opium poppy)
Lineage: Eukaryota; Viridiplantae; Streptophyta; Magnoliopsida; Ranunculales; Papaveraceae
Exons: 2
Source: RefSeq, a predicted model, not a curated record
CCAUAAUUCAAAAUAUCAUCUUCAAAACAUCACCAUAAUAAAUCAGAAAGCAUGAUUAUCAUCAUCAUCAUAAAUCAACAACAUCUUUGAUUUGUUGUUGCCCUCAUCAUCAUUAUCGCCAUUAUGAUCAUCAUCAUCAUUAUCAAGAUCAUCAUCGUCGCGAUCAUCAUUGUUAGCAGAUAAGCACCCGCAUCAUUUCAACUAACCUAACGUAUUAUGCAUAGAUUUUUUCUGUCAAGCAAAAUAUUAAACACCUGCAAGACAAAAUAUUAUCAAACUCUUUUUUUUUGAACAAAAUUUUAGAAUCCCUCUACAUAUGUUGAACAAAAAAAUCUUCAUAAAUAUUCUUCAUCACAAUUUUCCCAUCAUCAAAAUCAUUUUUUUCAUCCAAAAAUUUCUAAAACAAAUUUCUUUCUUCACACAUAAACUAAACAAACAUCAAAUAAAUCAAAACAACUCUUUCUUAAAACUCUUUUUCUAGGUAACUCUCUCUAAAAUCACCUCUCUGCCCCAGCUUUGAUACCAUGUGGGAUUUCGACAAUAACACAAAAAGGAGUGACAGAGAGAUUGAAACACUCAAAAAUAUAAAAACUACAUUAAUAAUUUUUCUGCAUAUUUUACAAAAGAAAACUAACCCUUAUACAGGGAGUAACCCAAAACCAUAGAAUACUCUCAUUAUCCCACUGCUAACGAAAUCCUAAUUUAUAGGAGUUAAGUUGCACAUUUAAAAGUAUGUUUAGUAUUUUUCUAAAGACUAUGACACUUAACAAGCAAUUAUUCAAUUUUCAAAAUAUUCAAAAAACAAAUAAAAUUAUCCUAAAUCUAAUAUUUGAAUUAUAAUUCCAACACCUUCUCGUAAUUCAAAUAUUCUUCUUAAAAUUUUAUUAUCUAUCAUAACAUAACAUAACAUGACAUUUUAUUUGUGUGUGUUCAAUAACAUUCAAAUAUUCAAAUAUUUUAUUAGAUUUAGCAUAACAUAACAUUUUUCUUCAUCACAAUAAUCUUUAUUUUAUUUUUUUGGUUUUCUCUCAAAAUCAAUCUUUGCACUCACAAUAAACAAAAAUGAUAACACUUUUUUCAUCCAAAAAUUUCUAUAAAUUUUUUUUUCACACAUAAACUAAACAAACAUCAAAUAAAAACAAUUCUUUUUUUAAAACUCUUUUUAUAGGUAACUCUCUCUCAAAUCACCUCUCUGCCCCAGCUCUGAUACCAUGUGGGAUUUCCACAAUAACACAGAGAGGAGUGAGAGAGAGAUUGAAACACUCAAAAAUAUAAAAACUACAUUACUAAUUUUUUUUCUUCAUAUUUUACAAAAGAAACUAGCCUUGCCGUAACCCAAAACCCUAGAAUACUAUCACUAUCACACUGCUAACAAAAUCCUUAUUUAUAGGAAUUAAGUUGCACAUUUAAAAGUAUGUUUAGUAUUUUUCUAAAGACUAGGACACUUAACGAACAAUUAUUGAAUUUUCAAAAUAUUCAAAAAACAAACAAAAUUAUCAUAAAUCUAAUAUUUGAAUUAUAAUUCCAACACUUACGCCACACAGUUUUACAACAUUUCGGAAAAUGUUGAAGGACUUCGGAUUAUUGGUUUCGUAUGGUUUGGGGGAAUACCGGUUGUUUUUCAGCAACAACCUCAAGCGAUCAUUCAUGCUCAACCUUUUUCACCUCCUCUACCUGUAUUAACUCCUCCACCUGUUGUUUUACAUGAGAUCAGAGUCAUGGUUAUCGGCGCUAGAUCAACCGGGAAAUAUACUUUUCUUGGUUGUUUUCAAAAUGGUAUGUUUGGUCAAAAUCUCGUUGAUUUUGUCAAUUUCUCAUCACGUGAGAAGAUAUAUUAAUGAGGAUAUUACAAAUUUACCCAUCAUCUAAGAGAAAGAGUUUUAUCUUGAUUUGUGAUUGUCCAUUAGCUAAAUAAUUGGAGGGCUGAAAAGUUAGUUUAAUAAGAUUUGUGAUCGUCUAUGAGCUAAAUGAUUCGACGGGUGAAGAUAAGUUCUAGAGGAUUUCUACACGUGGCUUUACUAAAAUGAAUCGACGGUUAAAAAAAGUUGCAUAUAGUGUUAAUGGUGACAUAGUUUGACGGUGUUUUGUUUUCUUGUGAUCUUUAUGGGUAUGUUAAUGGUGACAUAGCUGAACCACCACAGAAAGUUGUGGUAGAUGGUGUUUAAGUAGUUAAUCCAGAAUGGGUUUCUUGGAGGAGAUUAGAUAGGUUUGUUUCAACCUGCCUAAAAGCAACUUUUAAACCAACUGUUAGUAGUGAUGUUCUUGGUUUGUCUACAGCUAAAGAAAUUUGGGAUUUUCUUGAAUUGAGUUUUAGAACACAAUUUAUUUCUAGGAAGAGUAUGUCAAGGACACCAUUGAAUGGGAUUAAGAAAGGCAAUAUGUCUAUUGUUCAAUAUCUUCAGAAAAUUAAGUCAAUUGCAGAUUAUUUAGCAGCAAUUGGUGAAAAAGUAAGUGAUGAAGAUUUAAUGAUAUUUACGUUGAAUGAGUUAAGCAGUGAUUACGAUAUUUUUGUUAUUUCAUCACAAAGUAGGGAGAAGCCUUAUUCUUUUGGUGAAGUUAAGGCUAAAUUGCUUUUUCAUGAACAGUUUUUUGCUGAAAGGAAACAACAUAAUACAAAUGUAUAUAAUGAGCAGAAUCCAGUAGACUUUUAUGCUAGAAAUGGUACAAUACUUAUAAUCAUAAUAAUAAUAAUAAUAGAAGAAAUAGGGGCAAUGGUAAAAAUGGAAAUGGUGGUGUUUAUAAGAAUAAUCAGUAUCAACAUGGGUCUAGUUCAAAUCAGCAAAAUGGGUCAACUUCAGCUGGAGGUGGUGAUAGGAGAUCUUAUAUGGAUUAUUCAAAGGUUUUUUGUCAGAUAUGUAAGAAGAAUGGUCAUGUUGCUACUAGGUAUUUCCUUAGAUAUCAUCCACCAACAACUUGGUCUUCUAAUGGUAAUACUCAAGCUAAUUUUGCUAAUGCUGAUGUUCAAGCACAUUAUCCCAAUGCAGCAACACUUUCUUCUGGUACUUCUCAACAAGCUUUUACUAGUUUAAAUAUGAAUAAUUCAGCAAUGAAUGAUGAUCCUUCUUCCAGUACUGUGUGGAUAUCUGACAAUGAAGCCUCACCAUAUAUGUCUGGUGAUAGUUCUAUCCUUCAAAAUACUUCAAACUACAAAGGAAAGGAGAAUGUUAUCAUUGGUAAUGGUAAACCUCUGUCUAUUUCUCUUACUGGUAAUCAACUAUUCAAACACCAACAUCUAGUUUUACUUUAA